AUCUUUCUGCAUUUUUUUUUUUAAAGUUUUGAAGGUGGUUAGCAAAUUUUUUUUUGGAUCCAAAUGUAAAUUGGUCAAGCUGUCGCUUUAAUUUUUCGUUUUUUUUUUCUACUUUCCUCUAACCCGCCGUCCAUCCGCCCAACGAGCCGCCGAGGGGAUGUGAGCCGGUGGUUCCGCUCCUGUCGACCCGAUACCGGAUCCUCUCCCCCGUGGCGACAACGAUGGGCGGCGCAACUCCCGGCGACGGCGACCCUCUCUCUCCCCUGUCUACGUCCUCCUCUUCAUCGUUCUUCCGCAACUCCUCGACGGAUUCGUCGAGUUCCUCAGAAAGGCCCUCCGCAUUUACACUUGGGAGGCAAAACUUAGAUGGACAGCUGCAGCUAAAGAGAAGGAGCUAUCUAAAGAAAUCAAAACAGGUGUGAGACAUCAUGGCAUGGGGAAUGGCAUGGAAAACAAUUUGACAUCUCCAUUAAUUCUGACGAUAUAUUUCUGUGACUGUUUAUAUUGCACAUAACUUUCAGAUCCUUGGGGUGUAAUAAUAUAUUCAGGCAAAAAUUGCUUCUGCAUCCUUCUACAUGCUACAUGUGGGAGAAAAAGACCAGCUGGUAUUCAUCUUUCUGUUCAUUACGGCGGUUAGAUGUAUUUCGAUGUAUUUUGUAUUUGGGUAAGAGAUCGAGGCUCCAGGCAAGAGUGAUCUCUCUAGAAAUUCCAAAGUAAGUGAAAUUUAUACUUGUUCAAAGACAAAUCCUCAACAUCAUAUGAAGUCAUAUAAGUAGAUGAUGAAUUUGCCAAUAUUCUUCAUGGAGGUUAAGUUCGUCAAUGUUUAUUGGUUGGAAGAAUAUUACCAAUUUCCUUUAUAGUAAGAUACACCUAAAUUGAGACAAAUGCCACUGCAUAUUGAUUCCGUAAAGAUUGAUUUGGUGUCUCUCUUUGAAAUCUGUGCCCUUUUUGUGUCAGAGUUUUGACAGAUGAGAAUGGGAUGAUUUGCUCGUCUUCCCAGGUCUUAUAGUUAACAACAUAACAAAUUAAGUGGAGGCGUACACAUUAAAGAAUAAGUAAACAUUGAUGAGCAGCCAGCUUAUGUAUACUAUAUUAUGAAUGGUGAUUUUAAGUGCAUCUGUUGAGCAUAAACCUCAGACACAAAUAUGAACCUGUGGGCAAAAUGAAUGCUCUUGCAGCCUCCUCUGAAGACAUGCUCACAUGUUUGCUAGUGCCAAGAAGAUGGCAGGUCUUCAUGCUGUGGUCAGGCUGAGGGGAGAGAAAAUGGUUGGCAGUACCUUAUUUACACUUUGUAAUUACAUCCCAUUCCAUCCUUGUGGAAAUUCUCUCUGUUAACUUUAUAAUUUCUCAUCAAGCAUAAUGUUACUUUAGUGGGCAUUGAAAGGUGAUAACAUAGUAUUUGUUAGUUUAAACAUUUCCAAAUGUAAUUCAGAAUUUUGUAAA
Non-coding RNA from Elaeis guineensis (African oil palm), 1443 nucleotides. The record is from RefSeq and is a predicted model, not a curated record. NCBI's taxonomy places the organism in Eukaryota, Viridiplantae, Streptophyta, Magnoliopsida, Arecales, Arecaceae.